Papaver somniferum (opium poppy) is the source of this 385-nucleotide long non-coding RNA. RefSeq lists it as uncharacterized. Lineage: Eukaryota; Viridiplantae; Streptophyta; Magnoliopsida; Ranunculales; Papaveraceae. The record is from RefSeq and is a predicted model, not a curated record. The transcript has 2 exons.
UCCAUUAUAAAUUGAUUCCUCAAUCAGGAGGUAAUGGCAAAAUAAAAAUAAGAUGAAGAUGGGUAUUUCCUCAACGAAGCUAGCCGUGGUUCUGAUCCUAUCUUUGUUUCUUAUUGGUGGUUUCUAUGCUGAAGCAGCAGGAAGGAUUAAUGGAAUAGAAGGUAAAUGUGAGACAGAGCACAAUUGUUCAAGUGAUGAUGAAUGUAACAGUCGCUGCACACCACUAGGUUACCCCCGUGGCAUAUGCGUUAAGCCUAUAGGAUCCUUCUGUUGUUGUAUAAAAAAUACAGCAUAAUAAUUCGAUCCUUGCAUAAGUUAUGGGGGUUCGAAAGAAAUAAAAGUUUAAUAAUUAAAUGAAAAAGAAAUUGUGCCCAUUUUUUUUUUC